Molecule: ribosomal RNA, 253 nt
Filed under: uncultured bacterium
Lineage: Bacteria
Description: partial 16S ribosomal RNA
Rfam family: Bacterial small subunit ribosomal RNA
Source: RNAcentral
UACAGAGGUCUCAAGCGUUGUUCGGAUUCAUUGGGCGUAAAGGGUGUGUAGGUGGUGCGUUAAGUCGGGUGUGAAAUUUCGGAGCUUAACUCCGAAACUGCAUUCGAUACUGGCGUGCUUGAGGACUGGAGAGGAGACUGGAAUUCAUGGUGUAGCAGUGAAAUGCGUAGAGAUCAGGAGGAAGACCAGUGGCGAAGGCGGGUCUCUGGACAGUUCCUGACGCUGAGACACGAAAGCCAGGGGAGCAAACGGG